CUCAAACUGCCUCUUUGUUCUCCAGUUUCUUGUUGUGGCUGUGGAUGUUCUAAAGGGCACUUGGCUCCUGCAAUUCAUCAAUGGUCCAGCAUCAGUAUAAUGAAGGGGACCCAGAUGAUAUAAUAGAGGUCCAGCAUCACUUUAAUGAAGAGUCCCAGCUGACAAUACAAGUGAAAGAG
Molecule: long non-coding RNA, 179 nt
Organism: Tachyglossus aculeatus (Australian echidna)
Lineage: Eukaryota; Metazoa; Chordata; Mammalia; Monotremata; Tachyglossidae
Exons: 3
Source: RefSeq, a predicted model, not a curated record